UUUGCGUAGAACAACACAUCCUUGAAAUAUGCAAGCCUUGUUGAAAAAGUAGAGAUGUUUGAAAAUUGUUUAAAACUUGAUGUAUCGCCAAAAAUUUGAGCCUUAUUAGUAAUUAUUUUGAAUAUGGCAAAAUAGUUUGGAUCACGCAAGCACUAUCCAAAAUAACCAUAAUUUGAAAGUAUGAAUGUAUUUGGUACCAUAUUUAUACUAAAUAUCGACAAACUACAAUUUUGGUCAAGCGCCUCCUGUCCCCCAGUUUCGGACAGCUUGAUUUUUUGUAUGAUAUCUUUGUAAUUUUUGCACCAGUGUCCAAAAGUACAUUCAUUUUCCAUCGAUUCCGUCGAUCAUGGUUUCAAACAUGCAAUAAAAUUGAGAAAAAUAAAUAUUCAGAACAUCACAGGAAAAUGUGUUAUUUUUCAUUCUAUAGGAAAGAGUUUUUUAAUGGAUAUAUUGCAAGUAAGUAAAACUCAAAAUACUCUGGUGAAUGUGGCAAAUGCUUUGAACUGGCAAUAAAAUACUAUUCCUAGAGUAAAAACAUUCAAUGAUGUAUACAUUCACAGAAUUUCUAGAGGCAUUUCUAGAUCGUGUCUGGUAUUGGGUGCCACAUUUUAUGAUUGAUCAAUUUGGUACCAAAAUGGAUCAUCGAAAUACAAUGUCAAAAUUUAUAUUUAUAUUUUCAAAUUUAUUUUUGUACGCUGCAAAACUGAUAAUAUUUAGGCACCAAGACCGCAUUAAAUCAAUAGUUUUUGAAUUAUGAAUUUUGCAGCUUAGGUGUCCGGUACUGGGGGACUAGAGGAAGAACCACUAGAAAAAAAGAGUUGAAAAAAAAACAAAGAAUUAUUUUAAAA
Molecule: long non-coding RNA, 848 nt
Organism: Aedes aegypti (yellow fever mosquito)
Lineage: Eukaryota; Metazoa; Arthropoda; Insecta; Diptera; Culicidae
Exons: 2
Source: RefSeq, a predicted model, not a curated record